RNAcentral lists this ribosomal RNA (253 nucleotides) under uncultured bacterium. RNAcentral describes it as "partial 16S ribosomal RNA". It matches the Rfam family "Bacterial small subunit ribosomal RNA", at positions 524 to 776 of the family's 1533-position model. The record is from RNAcentral.
UACGGAGGGGGCAAGCGUUAUUCGGAAUUAUUGGGCGUAAAGGGCGCGUAGGCGGCUAGAUGUGUCAAAGGUGAAAUCCCUCGGCUCAACUGAGGAACUGCCUUUGAAACUGUCUGGCUUGAGGCCGGGAGAGGGUAGCGGAAUUCCCAGUGUAGCGGUGAAAUGCGUAGAUAUUGGAAAGAACACCGAUGGCGAAGGCACUCUACUGGGCUAUUACUGACACUCAGAGACGAAAGCUAGGGGAGCAAAUGGG